Molecule: long non-coding RNA, 568 nt
Organism: Anthonomus grandis grandis
Lineage: Eukaryota; Metazoa; Arthropoda; Insecta; Coleoptera; Curculionidae
Exons: 3
Source: RefSeq, a predicted model, not a curated record
UGAAUUACGGUUAUGUUUUUAAAUUUAUUCGUAUAAAAAGACUUAAAUUUGUUUAAAAUUCAUCAGUUGUAGUUCUGUUUUAUUCCUACCCUGUCACCCUCAAAAAGAUAAUGUUGUCCAACUUUACGACCCUCGUGACCAUUUUACUAUUGGCUACGCCAAUAUUUGCCGCUCCAACUUAUCUGGACCACGCAAUCGCUCCGGUACAUGUGACCACAGCUGUGGUUGGCCACCUCCCCACCACAAUUUCCCAACAACACAAUCACGUGAUCCACCAUGCCGCGGUGGUACAACCGGUGGUGCACGUACCGGUGGUACACCAGACUCCGGUCGUUGUUGCUACUCAUCAUGGUUAUGGACAUCAUGGGCAUUAUUAAGUAGUUUUGUAAAACGACGGUUGAAAAUAGAAUUUGGUUUUAAAUGAAAUUUUGGUUGUUUUGUUGUUAUUCUAGUUUUAUGUGGACCCAACAUUAGCAUAUGUGACAAGGACCAAACUAUGUCCAAGCCUCCUUGACUAAAAAUUGACUUGUUCUUACAUAGUCAUGCCACGUAGUUUGACAUGGUUAAA